GACGAACGCUGGCGGCGUGCUUAACACAUGCAAGUCGAACGGUAAGGCCCCUUCGGGGGUACACGAGUGGCGAACGGGUGAGUAACACGUGAGCAACCUGCCCUUGACUCUGGAAUAACAGCUGGAAACAGCUGCUAAUACCGGAUAUGACUCAUGACGACAUCAUCGUGAGUGGAAAGCCCUGGCGGUCAAGGAUGGGCUCGCGGCCUAUCAGCUUGUGGUGAGGUAACGGCUCACCAAGGCUUCGACGGGUAGCCGGCCUGAGAGGGCGACCGGCCACACUGGGACUGAGAUACGGCCCAGACUCCUACGGGAGGCUG
This 320-nucleotide ribosomal RNA is filed under the name uncultured Actinomycetes bacterium. RNAcentral describes it as "bacterial SSU rRNA". It matches the Rfam family "Bacterial small subunit ribosomal RNA", at positions 28 to 351 of the family's 1533-position model. Lineage: Bacteria; Bacillati; Actinomycetota; Actinomycetes. The record is from RNAcentral.